UUCAGUUGCAUCCUUUUUAUUACGUUUUCUAAUUUAUUGCAUUGCAUUUCUUCUUUUCUCUCUCUGUCAUUUGGUACUCCACUGUUUUCUCUCCCCCAUUUGGUAUUCCACCAUCUUACUGUUCUCUCCCACUUCUCUCUUCUUUCUCUCCAUUUUUUAUUUUCAUUUUUCCAAAUAAGGGCUUCGUUUUUGCAUGUAAGAAACAAAGGCUUCAUUUUCGGCUUGGUUCGUCAUGUAUGAUGGUAUUUUACUUUUUUCGCACAAAAACAAACCAAAAGCUUCGACCUUUUUGUUCAUAAACGUUGUUUGUUGUUCAUUUUCGGCUUGGUUUGUAGGUAUGAUGAUAUUUCAAGCCAUAAGGUUCGACCUUUUUGUUCAUAAAAAACGUUGUUUGUUGUUCAUUUUCGGCUUGGUUUGCAGGUAUGAUGGUAUUUCAAGCCACAAGGUUUGACCUUUUUGUUCAUAAAAAACGUUGUUUGUUGUUCGUUUUCGGCUUGGUUUGCAGGUAUGAUGAUAUUUCAAGCCACAAGGUUCGACCUUUUUGUUCAUAAACGUUGUUUGUUGUUCGUUUUCGGCUUGGUUUGCAGGUAUGAUGGUAUUUCAAGCCAAAAGGUUCGACCUUUUUGUAUUUUAUCAUGAGUUUGUUGUUUUGUAUACGAAGCUUUUCGAUUUUUCUUGAGUGGUUUGUUGUUAUGUACCAUUUUGGUUGGGGUUUGUUGGGUUUUGAUGUUGCAUAUGCAUCAUUUACUAGCUUUUUGUGGUUUUUUUAUUCAUCGCAACAACAAAGCUUAAAGCUUUGUUCAUUUUUUAUUAUUAGUACAAAAGGUUCAACCUUUUUGUAUUUUAUCAUGAGUUUGUUGUUUUGUAUACGAAGCUUUUCGAUUUUUCUUGAGUGGUUUGUUGUUAUGUACCAUUUUGGUUGGGGUUUGUUGAGUUUUGAUGUUGCAUGUGCAUCAUUUACUAGCUUUUUGUGGUUUUUUUAUUCAUCGCAACAACAAAGCUUAAAGCUUUGUUCAUUUUUUAUUAUUAGUACAAAAGGUUGGAUCUUUUUUUGUUCUACAACAAGUUUAUCGUUUUGUAUACGAAGCUUAUGGAUUUUUCUUGAGUGGUUUGUUGUUAUGUACCAUUUUGGUCGGGGUUUGUUGGGUUUUGAUGUUGCAUGUGCAUCAUUUACUAGCUUUUUGUGGUUUUUUAUUCAUCACAACAACAAAGCUUAGAGCUUUGUUCAGAUAUGUAGCAUUGGGUAUCUUUGUGACCGACAGCAACAACGAAGACAACAAAUAGUGUCCGACAUGAAAAGAACAGUCUUAUUUGACCGUGGUUGAGUAUUCUUCUUCUUUUGCAAGACAAAAGCCACAGAUCAUAGUAUGUUGGAUAGCUUACAGGAGAAAACUUUGUUUUCUUUGCCCGAUGCUAACGUGGAUGAGUCAGUGCUUACGUGUGGCAAUGUCAAGAGCCUUCAUUCCCGCCCAAAAACUUCACUGUCAACCUCCAUUUAUAUUAAUGAUUUUUAUUAAUUUUAAUUUUAUUGUGCAUUUAAUACUUUUUGUCUUUUGUGUUGAUUUUGCUCCGGUUA
Long non-coding RNA from Glycine soja, 1576 nucleotides. RefSeq lists it as uncharacterized. NCBI's taxonomy places the organism in Eukaryota, Viridiplantae, Streptophyta, Magnoliopsida, Fabales, Fabaceae. The transcript is spliced from 3 exons. The record is from RefSeq and is a predicted model, not a curated record.